RNAcentral lists this ribosomal RNA (491 nucleotides) under Latilactobacillus sakei. Its description in RNAcentral is "bacterial SSU rRNA". It matches the Rfam family "Bacterial small subunit ribosomal RNA", at positions 69 to 546 of the family's 1533-position model. Lineage: Bacteria; Bacillati; Bacillota; Bacilli; Lactobacillales; Lactobacillaceae. The record is from RNAcentral.
CUCCUGAUUGAUAAACAUUUGAGUGAGUGGCGGACGGGUGAGUAACACGUGGGUAACCUGCCCUAAAGUGGGGGAUAACAUUUGGAAACAGAUGCUAAUACCGCAUAAAACCUAACACCGCAUGGUGUAGGGUUGAAAGAUGGUUUCGGCUAUCACUUUAGGAUGGACCCGCGGUGCAUUAGUUAGUUGGUGAGGUAAAGGCUCACCAAGACCGUGAUGCAUAGCCGACCUGAGAGGGUAAUCGGCCACACUGGGACUGAGACACGGCCCAGACUCCUACGGGAGGCAGCAGUAGGGAAUCUUCCACAAUGGACGAAAGUCUGAUGGAGCAACGCCGCGUGAGUGAAGAAGGUUUUCGGAUCGUAAAACUCUGUUGUUGGAGAAGAAUGUAUCUGAUAGUAACUGAUCAGGUAGUGACGGUAUCCAACCAGAAAGCCACGGCUAACUACGUGCCAGCAGCCGCGGUAAUACGUAGGUGGCAAGCGUUGUCC